GUUACCUUCGGGUAAUGAGGAUGGCGGACGGGUGAGUAACGCGUAAGGAACUUGCCUCUUGGACUGGGACAACUGUUGGAAACGACAGCUAAUACCGGAUAUUAUGAGAUUCUCGCAUGAGAAACUUAUGAAAGCUAUAUGCGCCAAGAGAGAGCCUUGCGUUCCAUUAGCUAGUUGGUGGGGUAACGGCCCACCAAGGCGACGAUGGAUAGCCGGCCUGAGAGGGUGAACGGCCACAAGGGGACUGAGACACGGCCCUUACUCCUACGGGAGGCAGCAGUGGGGAAUAUUGGACAAUGGGCCACAAGCCUGAUCCAGCAAUUCUGUGUGCACGAUGAAGGUCUUCGGAUUGUAAAGUGCUUUCAGUUGGGAAGAAGAAAGUGACGGUACCAACAGAAGAAGCGACGGCUAAAUACGUGCCAGCAGCCGCGGUAAUACGUAUGUCGCAAGCGUUAUCCGGAUUUAUUGGGCGUAAAGCGCGUCUAGGCGGAAAAAUAAGUCUGAUGUUAAAAUGCGGGGCUCAACUCCGUAUUGCGUUGGAAACUGUUUUUCUAGAGUACUGGAGAGGUGGGCGGAACUACAAGUGUAGAGGUGAAAUUCGUAGAUAUUUGUAGGAAUGCCGAUGGAGAAGUCAGCUCACUGGACAGAUACUGACGCUGAAGCGCGAAAGCGUGGGGA
Molecule: ribosomal RNA, 678 nt
Filed under: uncultured bacterium
Lineage: Bacteria
Description: bacterial SSU rRNA
Rfam family: Bacterial small subunit ribosomal RNA
Source: RNAcentral